UGGGGAAUCUUGCACAAUGGGCGAAAGCCUGAUGCAGCGACGCCGCGUGCGGGAUGAAGGCCUUCGGGUUGUAAACCGCUUUCAGCAGGGACGAGGCCGCAAGGUGACGGUACCUGCAGAAGAAGCCCCGGCUAACUACGUGCCAGCAGCCGCGGUAAUACGUAGGGGGCAAGCGUUAUCCGGAUUCAUUGGGCGUAAAGAGCUCGUAGGCGGCCCGUUAGGUCAGGAGUCAAAUUCGGGGGCUCAACCCCCGCGCGCUCCUGAUACCGGCGGGCUUGAGUUUGGUAGGGGAAGGUGGAAUUCCCAGUGUAGCGGUGGAAUGCGCAGAUAUUGGGAAGAACACCGGUGGCGAAGGCGGCCUUCUGGGCCAUAACUGACGCUGAGGAGCGAAAGCUAGGGGAGCGAACAGGAUUAGAUACCCUGGUAGUCCUAGCCGUAAACGAUGGACACUAGGUGUGGGCGAAUGUUUCGUCCGCGCCGCAGCCAACGCAUUAAGUGUCCCGCCUGGGGAGUACGGCCGCAAGGCUA
RNAcentral lists this ribosomal RNA (528 nucleotides) under uncultured bacterium. RNAcentral describes it as "bacterial SSU rRNA". It matches the Rfam family "Bacterial small subunit ribosomal RNA", at positions 355 to 896 of the family's 1533-position model. The record is from RNAcentral.